AAAAAGUUUAGUUUGUUUAUUGUUAAGCACAAAGCUUUACAUUUGCUACAUGUGCUUUGCCCAACACGAGUAUCGAAACCUGGUUUUGAGCGUCGUAAGCCUACAGACUUGUCGCUGAGCCACUGGGAGGCACCUUUAUAGAAAUAAUUGAAGUGCUUGACACGGAUGAAGCAUUCUAACUAAUCUAAGCAUGGACCAAAUGUGAGCAAGAGGGAUGAAGUCGAAUAAUGAUUUGUUUCAUGGCAUAUUUAUCUGCCUUAGUUGAACUCUCACACUUUAUUACCAAAUCUGCUGAUGACGAGAAGUGAAAGAGUAAUUCGCCAUUUGCAUUUGAUAAAGAUACCAAGUUUCAGAAAUGUGUUUUUGGCAUCUUUUUAUUUAAUGUCAGUGAUAAAAUGUUAUUUGAAAAUUUUAAUAUAGCCCUUAUUGAAGUUAUUCAGUAAAACUAAGACUAAUGUCAUGAGCACAGACUAAGGGAAUUCCGUGAAGCGUAAGUGGAGUUCUGGGACUGGGAGGCUGAGUAGGAGCCUGUUAGUGUUACACUGACAUUUUCAAUUUCAGGGCUUUGAAAGAAUAUCAACAUUUUGACAGUCUGCAGAGACAGACAAACUACAUAGGCUGAUAUUUGAGCUGAAAUGAGAAUAUUGAAAAUGCUCUACUGUCUCUGAAUGCUGUGCUGGAGCUUACAAGUCUUCUGGAUCCUAGUGUAUAAAGAGCAUUGUUCAAUUUGGAAUUUUGCUUUUUAAACAUUCAGUCUUUCUACUAAGCAAGUGCUUUGUGUUCAAAGAAAUUGAAGACAAAUAAAAUUGUUCCAAGAAAGUUUUUCUUAAAAGCAGCCUCUGGUUUCCUACCCAUGCUAAACGGACUAAAUUACUUGUCACAAGAGAUUAUGAAUGUGAAAUCUGCCAUAGAUGCUUCACAGCCAAACCUAGUCUGAAGAGGCAUAAGAUUGUGAUGCACUCUGAUAUUCGUCCUUUAUUCCAUUGUAACUUGUGUUCAAGAAUUUUUUCCUGGAAAGACAAUUUGGAACGACACAAGCGAAUUGCACACAACCAGAUGUCUGUGGGUUUUGAUUAACAAAUAGUAUUUUCCACAUUUUUCAGAAUAGUGAUGAUUUAUUGGUUUACUUAGGUUAUUCACCUCUCUCAUUCUCUCACCUCUCAUUUCCAGCUGCUACUGGAUGAGUUCUUUCAGGUGGGCAUGUGGACUACUCUUCACACCUUCAUCACCAUCUGGCUGUCUUGUAUCCCGAAGAUUACUGUCUGCCUGUGCCAUUCUACAUAGUCUACCCUCUGCCUCUGGACUGGUAAGUACAUUUUCUUUUUUAGAACAUUUACUUAUAGGAACCUGCUAUGUGGCUGGUGGUGCCUCUCAGUGUAUAUGUUUCCAAAAAUUCUGCAUCGUGUGGCCUGAGUCUGUACAGUUAAGUUGAGAUGAGCAUACAUUAUAAUGUUGUGCCCUUCUGCAGCCAGAGCAUAGUCGGUUGAAUUGAGGUGAGCACAUUACACGAUAUAUGCCAUCCACCUGUGGUCCGAGUCUGUACAGUUGAGGUGAGAACACACUAUAAUGCUGUGCCCUCUUCCUACAGCCAGUCUGUUCAGUAGAGUUGAGGCAAGCACAUCAUAUGAUAUGUGCUCUCCUUCUGCAGCCUGCGACUGUUCAGUAGAGUCAAGAUGGGUACACACUACUAUACAGUGCUAUCCUCCUGCUGUUCUCUCUAGGCCCUGCAUGGCCAGGUGGUUAGGGCACUUGACUCGCAAUCUGAGGAUUGUGGGUUCGAUUCCCCAUCCCACCAAACAUGCUCACCAUUUCAGCCAUGGGAGUAUUAUAAUGUGAUGUUCAAUCCCACAAAAGUUGGUAGUGGGUAGUGACAACUAUCUGCCUUCCCUCUAGUCUUUUCGCUGGUAAAUUAGGGAUGGCUAGCGUAGAUAGCCCUCAUGUAGCUUUGUGCAAAAUUCAAAACAAACCUAUUGUCUGUUUAGUAGAUGAGGUGAGCAUGCACUAAUAGUCAAGCCCUCUUCUUGCAGCUGAUGUCUGUUCAGUUGAGAUGAGGUUUGCACACACACUACUACUCUCUAUGGCAUGACUAUUGUACCCUCCUUCUGUAGGUAGUGUCAGUCAAACAAAGUCUGAUAGUAGAGUUUAGGUGAGCACAAGGUUCAGUCUGAAUGUGUCCCAGCCAUGCUACACAUAUUGGCUCUCCAACCUCUUGUGUGAAAUUAGGACCCUGUUCUUAUUCUGCCCAUCUCUGCGACACAUGGGGCUCAUUUGCUUUUUUCCUCCCUUAUUCUCAGGCAAAACGUAUACCCUGAAAGAGAUGAGAUACAGUCUCUCAUGAUUGUGCACCUAUGGAUCGGGUGUCACACUCCAUGGUGUUCCUUCAGAUACUUUCUGAAGGUAGCUCAUCUAGGAUAAUCUUUGCACCAGCCCCUCCACCACUUCAACAGGGGAUUGUAGCUUAAAUGUGUGAAGAGGUGUGGUGUAGUGUCUUCUCUGAAGUUAACAUUUUCCUUACCUAAAAAUGUUAUUUUGAUAGACACUCAUCCUUCCCGCUUCGGUGCACAUUUCUUACUUUUGUCAUCAAAGAAUGAAGAUUCAUGAGUGCAAAUGCAUAGAGGUAGUUAGUGCACAAGAAGGUUGUAUUGCCCUCCUAUUGGUAGAGGGCUUUUGCUGCAUAAUGAUGUCAUUAUGCAGUAGUGCAAUUCGUGAGAAAAUUUCAUGAGAUUAGGUGGAAGUUCACUAAAGGCUAGCAUACCAAGAAUAAACAGAAAUAAAAUUACAGACAUACAGCCAGAUCCCCCUAUGUAAACAACAUGAAGUCAGAACAGCAUUCAGAAACAACAAAGCAAUAUGAUUGCAGUUAGUACACAACAAACCACCUAAAUAUCCAAUAGAGAGAAAAACAACAUUUACAACAUCCCCUGCAGAUGUGGAUUCCAAUACAUUUGACAAACAAAAACACCAACAAAUGUUAGAAUUCAGAAGCCUAAUAAACAUACAAGAUUCUGUAAUACUGAUUUAUCUGCAGUAACUGAUGAUGCCAGAGAAGAAGACUACAAUAAAUUGGAAUAGUACUGAAAUAAUAGGAUAUGAAUUACACACGAGGAAAAGAAAGAUAAAAGAAGCCUUCUGCAUUCACCUAACUGAUAACAUACUCAAUCAGCCUAGCAUAAAAGUCAGCAAAACUUGGUUACACUCCUCUUUUAAAACAUUACUCAAUCAGCCUAGCAUAGAAGUCAGCAAAACUUGGUUACACCCCUCUUUUAAAACAUUUAUAUAAUAAGGGGAUUCAAGUCCUAAUGUGGGAGACCUCGGUUGUGGGGAUACUCACCAGACUUACAUCAAGAAGACCCAGGAUUGAAUCCUAGCCACUACCAGUACAGAUUGUAUUCCUUCUCAGAACUCCCCUGACCACAGCAGUAGAUUAGCAGUUGAAACUUAGGAUAAAAACUAGUUCAUAAUUAGCAUAUUAAAAAAACAUGUUAGUAAUUAAUAAUUAUACUUAGGUGAUUGUAUAGGCUACUAACCAUGAUAAGGGUGUGCAACUUUUAGGCAAUCGCUUUAUGAGUGGGGAGGAGUUCCUUCACAACACAUUUUUGAAAGUUGUAAAUUAUAGUGGCAGUUUCAUGUAUGGUGAGAAAUGCUGUUUAAAGGUUUUUUUCACAUCCUCAUAUGGGUGUGCUGUUCUUCCCUUACAAAUGCUGUUCACUACAUUAGAAAUUGUUAUGUUAUAGCCUUUUCAUCUCUGCUCUUUCACUUUAUAUGGGCCACGUAUUCUUCCUGCCAUGAGCCUAUGUCAAAUCAUUCUUAUAAAGUAUAAUUAAUCCUCUGUAUUCUGUUGAACUGAAUUGCUUUACUUAGAUUUAUUUUAAUUAUUGAGAGAGUGGAUAUUUUCAAAAUACUUAAUGCUAAUUUCAUUCAAGCUUUGUAUGGUAUAUGAUAUCUUAAGUAUCAAGUCAAAGUCACUACUGGCCUCUAUGAUUUAAUGAUUA
Molecule: long non-coding RNA, 3992 nt
Organism: Limulus polyphemus (Atlantic horseshoe crab)
Lineage: Eukaryota; Metazoa; Arthropoda; Merostomata; Xiphosura; Limulidae
Exons: 5
Source: RefSeq, a predicted model, not a curated record